RNAcentral lists this long non-coding RNA (3399 nucleotides) under Homo sapiens (human). RNAcentral describes it as "HSALNT0329559". Lineage: Eukaryota; Metazoa; Chordata; Mammalia; Primates; Hominidae. The record is from RNAcentral.
CUUAGUGCAAUCUCGGUGUAGUCUCGACCUCACAGGCUCAAGUGAUCCUCCCACCUCAGCCUCCGGAGAAGCUGGGACUACAGCUCUUUGCCCAGCUUCCAGUGACUCCUCUGUGCCUGGAGAGAAGGGCAAGCGCCUUACUCAUGCCUUGAGGUUGCUGACCACUUCCGUCACCAGCCUCGCUCCUUCCAGACCUGCCCUGGGAGUCCCUGCCUCCUGGCCUUCACCUGCAUCACGGUCUGCACUUCUCAGAGCCCUGCCCUUCCUUGAAGAACAAAGCCUGGCCAAAUUGUGUCAGCCUUCUGGCCUGCAGUGACCCCUGCUUACAUCGUACAUAACAAUAGCUAUAACUUAUUGACAUUAACUUCAGGUCACAUAGCAAAAGUGCUCUCAUUUAAAUCUUAGGCCACCAGAGGAUCCAUAGACUAAAAUGUUAACAGCAUCUCCUGGAGUUGUGGAGUGUGGUGACCCUAUGUGAUCCUCCUGUGCCACUGAGAGAUAUAUUAUUAACCCAGUUUCACUGAUAAGAUAACUGAGGCUCAGAGAGGUCAAGUAACUUGCCCAUGGUCACACAGUGGGUCCAUGGCAGAGCUGGGAGGUGAUCCCUAGUCAGUUCCCUCCAAGUCCAGGAUUUUCUCACUCCCACAAUGGUGUCUCCCUUAAUGACUCUCACAUUCCAGCCUCUGAGGGCAGGAAGGGUAUGUUCUGAGUUGAACACACAGAGAGCACUCAAUGAUGUCUGGUGGUGAAGAUGUUAAUCAUGAGCUCAAUCAAGGUUUAUCAUUAAAUCAACAAGUCUUCCUAGUGUGUCUGGGAGCUCUGGGGCCCAGGGACAGGCCUACUGUAGUUCAGUGUUGUAUUCUGGCACCUGGUGGUUUCUGGCACAUAGCCCAUGUUCAUUAAAUGACAUGAAUUGAUUGUCCAUUCAAAUAAUAAAACAAUAAAUAAAUAAUACUAGCUAACAGGUAUGGAGUGCCUACAAGCCAGCCACCUCAGGGAGUUUCCAGGACAGUUGAGGAGAAACAUAACACUGUUGACAAGAGCUACAACGUAGGGUUUUACACCAAAACAGUGUCUACGUAAACAGUGUCUAUCAAAGAGAGAAAAAUGAUGGGCAGACACCCUGAUCCUUCCCACAGUGCUAAAGGCCAUGCCAGCCACUGUCCCCAUUACGACUUGCAUAUACUGACUGCCGAAGCACACAAACCUGAAUUUUCCGUCUGCAUCCAUCGUUCUGUCUGUUCGGAUCACAUCUGGAUACUACUGUUGCCUCUCCAGACUGGAUAACCAGUCUGCUGAGGGCCAGAAGAUGGUGAGAUGGAAACUAGUCAUGUUUACUUGGAGAAGAGAAAUGAAGACCGUCUUUAACACCUGACAGGUUGCUCUUCCCAAGAGGGGCCAGAGGGCAACAGCCAUGGUCAACAGCUCCAGGCACCCCUGAGGAAGCCUGCUCCAGCUGGCAGGGCUGUCUGGCAAGGGACCAGUCCCUCCUCUGGAGAAGUGGUGAGCCCAGUGGGCUGCCUCUCCAGCAGGAUCCUGUAGAGACCUUACUCUCUACAAUGCACACUCCACACACUUGCUCACUUGACAAACACUUAUUAUAACUGUCACCCUGGGCCCAUUCCAGGUUAGGGACAUAAGGAUGAAUAAAACAAGGUCUGUACCAGUAGAGAACAUCAGUCCUCUAGGGGAGAAAGUCAGGAAAGCCUCAUCCUGAGCCUUCGACUCCUUACUGUCCAUCCUCUAGGCUCCUGUCUCAGCUUCUGCUGAAGGCUAUUUUCUUCCUUGUAUUCUGCAGUGACCAGGCAUAUGGCAGAUAAUCAACAAAUACAGGCAUCCCUGAAGAGGGUAUCCUGGGAUAAAAGCCCCAGCUGGAUCAGUGCUAUACAGGGGCCAACUGGGGGUGGGUUCCAGGCAGGGUCAUUUGCAAGGGUCCCUCUGCCCCUUCAAGUCCUGCCAGACAGGCCUUGGCCAUGGUUUCUUCCUGCCCCUGUCCCCUGACCACAGUUGAUCUCCCCUGGCUGUUAUGAAAUGUCAAAGAAUGUCCUGCAAUCCUAAAUUCCAUAAUGAUCUUUAUCUUCUGUUCCCUCUGAGGCUCCUCAAUCUGCAGUAACAGCUGUGGUUCAGCAAGCAGUGCGGCACUCUGGAGUGCUGUUCUGAAACAGGGCCGGCGUGGGGCAGAGCUCAUCUGCUGCCCUAUCCAUUCACUGUGCUGUUCGGGGCUAGAGAAGAUUCAUGUGUGUAUAUGCUUUUUAAAAAUUGUGAAACAAUAAUUAUGCAGAAAAAUACAUAGAAUAUAUGUUCAGUUUAACAAAUAAUCAUAAAGCAAAUCUCUAUAAAACCACUGCUGCUCUGCAGUGACCCCUGCUUCCCCCUAAGUCGUGCAUAACAAUAGCUACAAUUUACUGACCAUGAACUUCAGGUCACACAGCAAAGGUGUUCUCAUUUAAUCUUUGGCCACCAGAGGCUGCAUAGACUAAAAUGUGAACAGUGUCCCCUGCAGUUGUGGAGUGUGGUGACCCUAUUGGAUCUUCUCAUGCCACUGAGGGAUAUACUGUUUUCUGUAGAGAAGUCCAGCAGAGUCACUGUCCUGGGGGGCAUCCUUCUUGAUCGCCCCCAUGCCAUGAAGGCCCAUUCCUUGCCCAGGGCUCUAGAGUCUGAGCUUCUCCAAGAGGGAAUGGAGUCUUUCGCAGAGGGGCUGUGGAGCCUCGUAAGGCUGAAUCUAACCACGAGCAGGGAUUUUGGGCAGCUGCAUAUCCCAGAUGGUUUCCCAGUGGAUCAGCUUCCUGUUGCUGCUCUAAUAAACUAACAUAAACUUAGGGGCUUAAAACAACACAAAUUUCUUUUCUUAUAGUUCCGUAGGUCAGAAGUCCAAAACAGGUCUCACUGGGCUAAACUGAAGGUGUCAGCAGGGCUGCAUUCCUUCCUGGGGGCUCUAGUAGAGAAUCUCUUUCCUUUCUUCCCCUUUCCAGCUUUUAGAGGCUGCCUGCAUUCCUUGGCCUGCGGCCCCUUCCUCCACCUUCAAAGCCAGCACUGGCUGGCCAGGUCUUUCAUAUAUUGCAAUCUCUCUGCUUCUGCUUCUGCUUCUGACCCUUCUGCCUCUCUCUUCUCCAUUUAAGAAUGCUUGUGAUUACAUUGGGCUCACCCACCCCAGUUUCUACCCAAUAAUCCAGGGUAAUCUCCCAAACUUAAAGAGAGAAAACAAUACUAGCACCCCCAAAGCACCUACGUGUUCCCCUACUAAUCACAACCCCAACCCUCCCUUCUGCAUAAGUAGACAUUUGUAAUAAUUCUGUGCUUUUUGUAGUUUGACCUCCUCUGCAUGUAUCCUUAACAAUACAGUUUUGCCAGCUGUUAAAUUUUUGCUAAAAGGAAUUAUACUGUAUGCAUUCUUUUGUA